GUGAAAAUUCCCCUAUUCAGUAAUUCAGUAUUUCUAUCCAUGAUCUCUCCUGAGUGUGUCCCUUCCCUUUUCCCGCACUAAAUGUGCACACAGGAGCUGGGCCAGCCUUCCCUGAGCUGCCUUGUGCAAUCCCAGGACAGUGACCUUCCCCUUACCUGGAAAAUAUUAUUGUUUCUGGAUGAAACCAAAUUUGUGACCGUAACGGAGUGUAAGACUGGAUGUGUUGGAUUGCUGGUACCUGAGACAGAUGCCAGAGCAGUCAGAGGUGGAUCAGGAGAACAAUCAGAGAUCCUGGGCACUGAGAGGGCAAAACUGAGCCUGGCACCACCUGAGCAGCCUGAAGGAACUGAAGAACUGCAGGAGCUGCAGUUGUGGUGAGGAGGAAGGAUUUCUUUAGCAGGACAUGUAGGUAGGACAAGAAAGUAUCUUUACACUGAAUUUAGAAGUCACCUUGCAGAGAUUAAAAGCCAGCUGUAUGGACAGGAUGCUAGGAAGUCAUUAAACAGACCAUGAAUGAGUGAAGUCUCUGUGCAGCUCUGCCUUUAAUGUCCCUCAGAAAACAGGGUGUCCUUAUUGCUGAGAAACUCACAGAUCUCCUGAUGAAAAAGAACAUAAUCCUUACGGGAGGUGCUGUUGACUCUGGUACU
Long non-coding RNA from Pipra filicauda (Wire-tailed manakin), 647 nucleotides. RefSeq lists it as uncharacterized. The transcript has 4 exons. NCBI's taxonomy places the organism in Eukaryota, Metazoa, Chordata, Aves, Passeriformes, Pipridae. The record is from RefSeq and is a predicted model, not a curated record.